GCUGGGUGCAGUGGCACAUGCCUGUAGUCCCAGCUACUCGGGAGGUUGAGGUGGGAGGAUCGCUUGAGCCCAGGAGUUCUGGGCUGUAGUGCGCUAUGCCCAUCCAGUGUCCAUACUAAGUUUGGUAUCAAUAUGGUGACCUUCCAGGAGCGGGGAACCACCAGGUUGCCUAAGGAGGGGUGAAUUGGCCCGGGUUAGAAACGGAGUAGGUCAAAACCCCCAUGCUGAUCAGUAGUGAGAUCGCGCCUGUGAAUAGUCACUGCACUCCAGCCUGGGCAACAUAGUGAGAGCCCGUCUCUU
Molecule: unclassified non-coding RNA, 300 nt
Organism: Callithrix jacchus (white-tufted-ear marmoset)
Lineage: Eukaryota; Metazoa; Chordata; Mammalia; Primates; Cebidae
Rfam family: Metazoan signal recognition particle RNA
About the family: The signal recognition particle (SRP) is a universally conserved ribonucleoprotein.
Source: Ensembl